Molecule: ribosomal RNA, 253 nt
Filed under: uncultured bacterium
Lineage: Bacteria
Description: partial 16S ribosomal RNA
Rfam family: Bacterial small subunit ribosomal RNA
Source: RNAcentral
UACGAAGGGGGCUAGCGUUGCUCGGAAUGACUGGGCGUAAAGGGCGCGUAGGCGGAUUGCUUUGUCAGACGUGAAAUUCCAGGGCUCAACCUUGGGGCUGCGUUUGAGACGGGUGAUCUUGAGUUCGGAAGAGGGUCGUGGAAUUCCCAGUGUAGAGGUGAAAUUCGUAGAUAUUGGGAAGAACACCGGUGGCGAAGGCGGCGACCUGGUCCGAGACUGACGCUGAGGUGCGAAAGCGUGGGGAGCAAACAGG